Molecule: ribosomal RNA, 253 nt
Filed under: uncultured bacterium
Lineage: Bacteria
Description: partial 16S ribosomal RNA
Rfam family: Bacterial small subunit ribosomal RNA
Source: RNAcentral
GACAGAGGCCCCAAGCGUUAGGCGGAAUCACUGGGCUUAAAGCGUGUGUAGGCGGACGCCUAAGUGUCUUGUGAAAUCCCACGGCUCACCCGUGGAGCUGCUGGGCAUACUGGGCGUCUUGGGCCAACUAGGGGCAGCCGGAACAAGCGGUGGAGCGGUGAAAUGCGUAGAUAUCGCUUGGAACGCCGAAGGUGAAAACAGGCUGCUGGGGUUGUGCCGACGCUGAGACACGAAAGCCAGGGGAGCAAACGGG